GUAGACUUACAUCGUUGGAAACGCCUCAUAGAAUAAAUAUGUUGUUUCCUUUAUUCACAGAACUGUGUGUUAGAUCUGUGGGAAGGAAUUACAAGACAGCU
RNAcentral lists this small nucleolar RNA (101 nucleotides) under Myotis lucifugus (little brown bat). Lineage: Eukaryota; Metazoa; Chordata; Mammalia; Chiroptera; Vespertilionidae. The record is from RNAcentral.